CCUACGGGUGGCAGCAGUGAGGAAUAUUGGUCAAUGGACGCGAGUCUGAACCAGCCAAGUCGCGUGAAGGAUGACUGCCCUAUGGGUUGUAAACUUCUUUUAUAAGGGAAUAAAGUGUUCCACGUGUGGGUUUUUGUAUGUACCAUAUGAAUAAGGAUCGGCUAACUCCGUGCCAGCAGCCGCGGUAAUACGGAGGAUCCGAGCGUUAUCCGGAUUUAUUGGGUUUAAAGGGAGCGUAGGUGGAUUGUUAAGUCAGUUGUGAACGUUUGCGGCUCAACCGUAACAUUGCAGUUGAGACUGGCAGUCUUGAGUACAGUAGAGGUGGGCGGAAUUCGUGGUGUAGCGGUGAAAUGCUUAGAUAUCACGAAGAACUCCGAUUGCGAAGGCAGCUCACUGGACUGCAACUGACACUGAGGCUCGAAAGUGUGGGUAUCAAACAGGAUUAGAUACCCGUGUAGUC
RNAcentral lists this ribosomal RNA (460 nucleotides) under uncultured bacterium. Its description in RNAcentral is "partial 16S ribosomal RNA". It matches the Rfam family "Bacterial small subunit ribosomal RNA", at positions 338 to 795 of the family's 1533-position model. The record is from RNAcentral.